RNAcentral lists this long non-coding RNA (2370 nucleotides) under Marmota monax (woodchuck). Lineage: Eukaryota; Metazoa; Chordata; Mammalia; Rodentia; Sciuridae. The record is from RNAcentral.
CUUGUUUGUAGGAAAGCUGGAUUCCCAAGUUAAUUCCUUCAGGGUUGGGGUUUGGGGUUCCAUUUUAAUUUUACCACACACUGUAACUUUUGUUUGGUCAUGAAGCAGACUCUGAUGGUGGGAAUUGCAGGUUGGGUGUGCCUGGCUCCAGCCUUCUGAACUCCAGAGCCUCCUCUGAGGUGCAUAAAUACUUAGGCAACAGAACUGCCCAGGGGAGUUUCUUCUGAAGAUCCACCUACAGGAGGCCUGAGGUGAGUAGGCUGCUUUAGCACAAGACUCGUCUCCAGAGAGAGAUGAAAACCGUGGCUCAAAUCAAUCUACAGCUGCGUUCUAGGGUUGCUACUGAGGAAUCCUUGGGGCGAUUCUAAGGGGAACUUCAAUAAUGUUCCCCAUCAAGGGGCCACUGGUAUCAAAUGACUAGCAACUUCUUGCCCCACUCUAUGAGAAGGGCAGCUGAGAUACUACAAAAAAUAAUCAAGUCUUCUAUUCUGCUCUUUCAUGAAAUUACCCCAAGAGGGAUGCUUAGUAAGCCUGUGCAGGUCUCAGGCUACUCUUAGCCUGGCUUCCAAGAGAGGAUCAUGUGACCAAAAUCCCCAUCAUAAUGAGAUUAGUACUUUAUCCUGAAGUAAGCCCUCACACCUAGGUACCCUAACCCUUUAACACUUUGGCUAGUCUCCCUUAGGGUGAAGAAGGCCCUUGGUAGGUGAGUUCCUUAGCUGUGAAAACACUUAGAUCACUUUCUCAAUGUUGGCCCAACUGGUUUAACUCUUUAGAUAUAGUUAAGGUAAAGGGACACACAGAAGGGUCAAUCUAUGACAACCAAAUUCAUCCCAUUGGCUUCUGAAUAUCUCCUCAAAUCUCGAAAUUAACAAACCUCAGGGCUGAGUUCUCAAUCUGUUAUUCUGUGGGAUGAGCAGAUAGCUGUGGAUAAUAAAUUUUCCUUUUACCAGUUAUCCAUUAUAAGUAAGUUGACAAAGUUUAGGAAUAGUUUUAGGAAUUUUGUAGCAUUUAUUUUUUGUUUAUCGAUGUCCUUUGAUUCAUUUACAGGAACUGUCUAUCAGGCCUGCCAUCUGAUCUUGAUCUAGCCCUUUAAAAUCUCUUUGUAGCAUUUGUCAACAUAAUAUAUCAAAAAUAACAGUGGGUAGAGCAAAUACCAUUUGUAAGUAGCAUGAGAAAGCCCUUCCUGCAUAUAGGUGCAUUUCUAAUAAUUUUCUAUGGUUCUGAGAUGAACUGGAUGCUCCCUACCAAAUGCAAUACAUACUGUAGAGUCUGCUCACCCCAGAAUGUCAUCUAGACUUACUAUUGCUUCAGGAUUCAGGAAUGACUUCAUUGGGGAAGUGACACUUGAAACCUGGCCUGGACAGUUAAGGGUCAGCAGGCAUUUUGGUGGGUGAAAGCAUGGCACCUUGGGGACACUCUAAAUGAGCCUUGGAGCCCACUGGGCCUCUAGCUGAAGUCCCAAUGUCUGUCUCUGAUGAUCUCAGCUGCUGGUAUAGUUUUCUAAGUAAAAUCAUGGCAGUCAUUUGCUUUUAAAUAUAGAGAAUUGCUUUGGUUUCUGCCACUCCUCAUCUGUCCUAAACCUGCCUUCAUUUUGACAUGGGUUCCCUGAAUUUGGUUCCUUUGCUUUUGGACAAGCUCUUUCCUUCUGCUCUGUCUUGGCAAUGACUUCUGGAAUGGAGAACUGCCAGAUUUUAUUCCAGCUUCUUCCAAAAGCAGCCUCUGCCUUAUUGAGCCUCCUUCUGCAGGGGGACAGCCUGUGGAGAACUGAUGUGAGCUGCUCACUGACCCAGGCUCCUGGCCCAGACCUGCUCUCCUUGUGUGACUGGGAUGGCAAUCUAGUACCCAGGGAGUAACCUGGGUGGCAGAAAGGGCCAGGUUGCUGAGUUCUUUGCUGUUAAGUUAAGGCAUUUGGAGUCUCUCCAUAGCGAUGGUGAGUAACUGGAUGGAUUUAAGUAAUAGUGUGAGAAAAUCAAUAUCCAUUUCAGAACAAGGAGCUCAGUGGUCUGACGGAAAAUGAACGAGGUGGGGAACACAGUCAGGAAGCUGGGCCAAUGCUCAAGUGAGGGAUGAGGAAUGUGGGAAAGAGCAGAGAGGACCCAUGAAGAAAUGAGACUCGGGAGAUUUCAAAAGGUGAUGUUGAUGGGCAUUGUGCACUUGAUUUAAGAGUGAGAGAGUGGGAAAGAGAGGUUAAAGGAACUCAGAAGAUGAUGGUGCCAUAUUCCUUGUAAUUAAUUGGGAACAUUGGAGGUAUUCAUGCUCAAGGAGAAAUUAACAGGACAAUAAUGGACUUAGUCACACUUGUGUUUGGGAUUCCUGUGAGGGGGUCCAAGAGUAGCAGCCCAGGAGGGUUAGAAAGUGUGAGGAGAGAAG